AUUGAACGCUGGCGGCAUGCCUUACACAUGCAAGUCGAACGGCAGCACGGGAGCAAUCCUGGUGGCGAGUGGCGAACGGGUGAGUAAUAUAUCGGAACGUGCCCAGUCGUGGGGAUAACGUAGCGAAAGCUACGCUAAUACCGCAUACGAUCUAUGGAUGAAAGCGGGGGAUCGCAAGACCUCGCGCGAUUGGAGCGGCCGAUAUCAGAUUAGGUAGUUGGUGAGGUAAAGGCUCACCAAGCCGACGAUCUGUAGCUGGUCUGAGAGGACGACCAGCCACACUGGGACUGAGACACGGCCCAGACUCCUACGGGAGGCAGCAGUGGGGAAUUUUGGGACAAUGGGCGCAAGCCUGAUCCAGCAAUGCCGCGUGCAGGAUGAAGGCCUUCGGUU
RNAcentral lists this ribosomal RNA (393 nucleotides) under uncultured bacterium. RNAcentral's name for it is "bacterial SSU rRNA". It matches the Rfam family "Bacterial small subunit ribosomal RNA", at positions 30 to 423 of the family's 1533-position model. The record is from RNAcentral.